RNAcentral lists this ribosomal RNA (301 nucleotides) under uncultured bacterium. Its description in RNAcentral is "partial 16S ribosomal RNA". It matches the Rfam family "Bacterial small subunit ribosomal RNA", at positions 509 to 807 of the family's 1533-position model. The record is from RNAcentral.
CAGUCGCCGCGGUAAUACGAAGGGGGCUAGCGUUGUUCGGAAUUACUGGGCGUAGAGGGCGCGUAGGCGGCCAUUCAAGUUAGAUGUGAAAGCCCUGGGCUCAACCUAGGAAUUGCAUUUGAUACUGUUUGGCUUGAGUUCGGGAGAGGUGAGUGGAAUUCCCAGUGUAGAGGUGAAAUUCGUAGAUAUUGGGAAGAACACCAGUGGCGAAGGCGGCUCACUGGACCGACACUGACGCUGAGGCGCGAAAGCGUGGGGAGCAAACAGGAUUAGAUACCCCAGUAGUCCCUGUCUCUUAUAC